CUGCUGGACUUCACAUGCAGUGCAGAUGGAGAGAGGAGAACUCCAGAGGAGACUAUGGAUACUCUCUUAAAACUGGGCUUUUAGGAGCACCUUUGGUCAAAUUUCCCUUUAUGUCUGUUUCAGGUAAAACUUCUGUAUCUACUCCUCCAAAUGGAAAGGGGAUAUUGAUCCAAGAUCUGAUGAUGAGAAGGAGGAGGAGUGGAAGAAAUGUCACUAGGCAGAGAGAUAAAACAAUAGCAGUAUAUGAAUGGUGUUAUUUUUUGUUUGGGGCAUAGAAUAAAAGGGCAUAAAACAAUGCAUUUUCUUGUCUUUGAAUGUUUUGGUUUUUGAAACCUCAGUCCCACUGUUUAUUUUCAAAAUGUUAGUUCUUGUCCAAUAAAGCCACGUCUGAUUUGCAAA
Felis catus (domestic cat) is the source of this 399-nucleotide long non-coding RNA. RefSeq lists it as uncharacterized. The record is from RefSeq and is a predicted model, not a curated record. The transcript has 2 exons. Lineage: Eukaryota; Metazoa; Chordata; Mammalia; Carnivora; Felidae.